This 1060-nucleotide ribosomal RNA is filed under the name uncultured Dechloromonas sp. Its description in RNAcentral is "bacterial SSU rRNA". It matches the Rfam family "Bacterial small subunit ribosomal RNA", at positions 338 to 1389 of the family's 1533-position model. Lineage: Bacteria; Pseudomonadati; Pseudomonadota; Betaproteobacteria; Rhodocyclales; Azonexaceae. The record is from RNAcentral.
CCUACGGGAGGCAGCAGUGGGGAAUUUUGGACAAUGGGCGCAAGCCUGAUCCAGCCAUGCCGCGUGUGUGAAGAAGGCCUUCGGGUUGUAAAGCUCUUUCGGCCGGGAAGAAAUCGCAUUGGUUAAUACCUGGUGUGGAUGACGGUACCGGAAUAAGAAGCACCGGCUAACUACGUGCCAGCAGCCGCGGUAAUACGUAGGGUGCGAGCGUUAAUCGGAAUUACUGGGCGUAAAGCGUGCGCAGGCGGUUUUGUAAGACAGGCGUGAAAUCCCCGGGCUUAACCUGGGAACUGCGCUUGUGACUGCAAGGCUAGAGUACGGCAGAGGGGGGUGGAAUUCCACGUGUAGCAGUGAAAUGCGUAGAGAUGUGGAGGAACACCAAUGGCGAAGGCAGCCCCCUGGGUCGAUACUGACGCUCAUGCACGAAAGCGUGGGUAGCAAACAGGAUUAGAUACCCUGGUAGUCCACGCCCUAAACGAUGUCAACUAGGUGUUGGGAGGGUAAAACCUUUUAGUACCGGAGCUAACGCGUGAAGUUGACCGCCUGGGGAGUACGGCCGCAAGGUUAAAACUCAAAGGAAUUGACGGGGACCCGCACAAGCGGUGGAUGAUGUGGAUUAAUUCGAUGCAACGCGAAAAACCUUACCUACCCUUGACAUGUCAGGAAGUCUUGAGAGGUUGAGAUGUGCCCGAAAGGGAACCUGAACACAGGUGCUGCAUGGCUGUCGUCAGCUCGUGUCGUGAGAUGUUGGGUUAAGUCCCGCAACGAGCGCAACCCUUGUCGUUAAUUGCCAUCAUUUAGUUGGGCACUUUAGCGAGACUGCCGGUGACAAACCGGAGGAAGGUGGGGAUGACGUCAAGUCCUCAUGGCCCUUAUGGGUAGGGCUUCACACGUCAUACAAUGGUCGGUACAAAGGGUCGCCAACCCGCGAGGGGGAGCCAAUCCCAGAAAGCCGAUCGUAGUCCGGAUUGCAGGCUGCAACUCGCCUGCAUGAAGUCGGAAUCGCUAGUAAUCGCGGAUCAGCAUGUCACGGUGAGUACGUUCCCGGGCCUUGUACACA